UGGGGAAUUUUGGACAAUGGGCGCAAGCCUGAUCCAGCCAUGCCGCGUGCGGGAAGAAGGCCUUCGGGUUGUAAACCGCUUUUGUCAGGGAAGAAAUCUUCUGAGUUAAUACCUCGGGAGGAUGACGGUACCUGAAGAAUAAGCACCGGCUAACUACGUGCCAGCAGCCGCGGUAAUACGUAGGGUGCAAGCGUUAAUCGGAAUUACUGGGCGUAAAGCGUGCGCAGGCGGUUUUGUAAGACAGAGGUGAAAUCCCCGGGCUCAACCUGGGAACUGCCUUUGUGACUGCAAGGCUUGAGUGCGGCAGAGGGGGAUGGAAUUCCGCGUGUAGCAGCGAAAUGCGUAGAUAUGCGGAGGAACACCGAUGGCGAAGGCAAUCCCCUGGGCCUGCACUGACGCUCAUGCACGAAAGCGUGGGGAGCAAAACAGGAUUAGAUAGCCCUGGUAGUCCACGCCCUAAACGAUGUCAACUGGUUGUUGGGAAGGUUCCUUCUCAGUAGCGUAGCUAACGCGUGAAGUUGACCGCCUGGGGAGUACGGCCGCAAGGUUG
RNAcentral lists this ribosomal RNA (550 nucleotides) under uncultured bacterium. RNAcentral describes it as "partial 16S ribosomal RNA". It matches the Rfam family "Bacterial small subunit ribosomal RNA", at positions 355 to 896 of the family's 1533-position model. The record is from RNAcentral.